GGUGACGUGGGUGAGAGGCUGAAACCACCAGUUUGCUAAACUGACGUACGGGUAACUGUACCGAGGGUUCGAAUCCCUCCGUCACCG
RNAcentral lists this transfer RNA (87 nucleotides) under Saprospiraceae bacterium. RNAcentral's name for it is "tRNA-Ser". It matches the Rfam family "tRNA". From Rfam's summary of the family: Transfer RNA (tRNA) molecules are approximately 80 nucleotides in length. Their secondary structure includes four short double-helical elements and three loops (D, anti-codon, and T loops). Lineage: Bacteria; Pseudomonadati; Bacteroidota; Saprospiria; Saprospirales; Saprospiraceae. The record is from RNAcentral.